CAUUGCAUGAUGAACGAUUUGAAAUUUAAAAGUAGUGGACUGAUAUCUGUCAAUGAAGAAAAUAAUUCUGAGAGAUG
Small nucleolar RNA from Populus nigra (black poplar), 77 nucleotides. RefSeq annotates it as small nucleolar RNA R21. NCBI's taxonomy places the organism in Eukaryota, Viridiplantae, Streptophyta, Magnoliopsida, Malpighiales, Salicaceae. The transcript has a single exon. The record is from RefSeq and is a predicted model, not a curated record.